RNAcentral lists this ribosomal RNA (257 nucleotides) under uncultured Atopobium sp. Its description in RNAcentral is "partial 16S ribosomal RNA". It matches the Rfam family "Bacterial small subunit ribosomal RNA", at positions 99 to 354 of the family's 1533-position model. The record is from RNAcentral. Lineage: Bacteria; Bacillati; Actinomycetota; Coriobacteriia; Coriobacteriales; Atopobiaceae.
CGAACGGCUGAGUAACACGUGGGCAACCUGCCCUCCUCUUGGGGAUAGCCUCGGGAAACCGAGGAUAAUACCCGAUACUUCAAUGUGGCCGCAUGACGACAUUGAGAAAGCUUUUGCGGAGAAGGAUGGGCCCGCGGCCUGUUAGCUUGUUGGUGGGGUAGAGGCCUACCAAGGCAAUGAUGGGUAGCUGGGUUGAGAGACCGACCAGCCAGAUUGGGACUGAGACACGGCCCAGACUCCUACGGGAGGCAGCAGAC